GACGAACGCUGGCGGCGUGCUUAACACAUGCAAGUCGAACGGAAAGGCCCUGCUUUUGUGGGGUGCUCGAGUGGCGAACGGGUGAGUAACACGUGAGUAACCUGCCCUUGACUUUGGGAAACUUCAGGAAACUGGGGCUAAUACCGGAUAGGAGCUCCUGCUGCAUGGUGGGGGUUGGAAAGUUUCGGCGGUUGGGGAUGGACUCGCGGCUUAUCAGCUUGUUGGUGGGGUAGUGGCUUACCAAGGCUUUGACGGGUAGCCGGCCUGAGAGGGUGACCGGCCACAUUGGGACUGAGAUACGGCCCAGACUCCUACGGGAGGCAGCAGUGGGGAAUAUUGCACAAUGGGCGGAAGCCUGAUGCAGCAACGCCGCGUGCGGGAUGACGGCCUUCGGGUUGUAAACCGCUUUCGCCUGUGACGAAGCGUGAGUGACGGUAAUGGGUAAAGAAGCACCGGCUAACUACGUG
Molecule: ribosomal RNA, 467 nt
Filed under: uncultured bacterium
Lineage: Bacteria
Description: partial 16S ribosomal RNA
Rfam family: Bacterial small subunit ribosomal RNA
Source: RNAcentral